AUUACACCACAUUCUA
RNAcentral lists this transfer RNA (16 nucleotides) under Rhinolophus cf. macrotis LZ-2018. Its description in RNAcentral is "partial tRNA-Gln". Lineage: Eukaryota; Metazoa; Chordata; Mammalia; Chiroptera; Rhinolophidae. The record is from RNAcentral.